CUCUAUUAAGAAAACCUCUCCUACUUCUUCCUGUCACAUGGACCAAUCAUAACCAUUUAUUUAUUUAUUUAUUUAUUAUUUAAAUUAUUUCCACCUAGUUCAAAAUUAAGUAUUAAAUCUAUUAAAAUAUCUUAGUGUAGAGCUACUAUGUUAUCAAAAGUAUAAAGUAAUUGGUGCUUCCGAUUUUUUAGCCCUUGGAUCAAAAAUUCUACGGUUAGGAUGAUAGCAGUCCCCUUAGGAUUAAGUGGUUUCCUUAGGAUUGAGUGGUCUCCAUUGAUUAAUAAUAUUAAUCUAAUGAUUAGAAGUACCAACCAUUUUAUAAUUUCGAUAGUAUAGUAGCUCUGAUGAAUAUCUUAAGCCCAAAAUAGCUUUAUUUUGCAUACUCUAUU
This 389-nucleotide long non-coding RNA is filed under the name Ananas comosus (pineapple). RNAcentral describes it as "long non-coding RNA (ACOM_LNC018539)". Lineage: Eukaryota; Viridiplantae; Streptophyta; Magnoliopsida; Poales; Bromeliaceae. The record is from RNAcentral.